CACCGCCCGCUGACUCGCAACUCCUCGUCAUCCUUCACCAUGACCAAGGAUAGAUUAGCAGCCCUCGUCGCGGCCCAGUCGGACGAUGACGAUGUGGCGGACGAUGUGUCCGUCAACGUCGGGGCGCCGGAUGACUUCAUGACGGAAUUUUUCGCGGAGGUGGAGGAGAUCCGCGAAAUGAUAGACAGGAUCCAGACAAACGUGGAAGAUGUGAAGAAAAAGCACAGCGCCAUUCUCUCCGCGCCGCAGACCGAUGAGAAGGUGAAACUAGAACUGGAAGACCUGAUGUCUGACAUCAAGAAAACCGCUAACAAAGUGAGGGCUAAAUUAAAGGUGAUAGAGCAAAACAUCGAGCAAGAGGAGCACACCAAUAAAUCGUCAGCAGAUCUAAGGAUACGCAAAACUCAGCACUCGACGUUAUCUAGGAAGUUCGUCGAGGUGAUGACGGAGUAUAAUCGAACACAAACCGAUUAUAGAGAGCGGUGUAAGGGAAGAAUACAACGACAGCUCGAGAUCACGGGGAGAACAACCACCAACGAGGAACUCGAAGAGAUGCUGGAACAAGGAAAUCCAGCCGUUUUCACGCAAGGGAUCAUUAUGGAAACGCAACAAGCAAAACAAACUCUUGCGGACAUCGAGGCGCGUCACGCUGACAUCAUUAAACUCGAAAACUCCAUCAGGGAGUUGCACGACAUGUUCAUGGACAUGGCCAUGUUGGUAGAAAGUCAGGGCGAGAUGAUAGAUCGCAUAGAGUACCACGUGGAACACGCGGUGGACUACGUGCAGACAGCCACGCAGGACACCAAAAAAGCACUCAAGUAUCAAAGCAAAGCCCGACGGAAAAUGAUCUUCAUCAUAAUCUGCGUCCUAAUAUCGGCGGUCAUACUAGUCGCCAUAAUAGUAGGGUGCCUUCCAAGAACCUAAACGGCCGAGGGGGGGUGUUUUUUGUAGGGGAAGGAAGGGUAUGGGUGUCAAACAAGAAGAGUUUAAAGAUUUUGAAAAAGAAGAAAUUGUUCCUGAUAUCGAUCUGCGUGACGAUAGCAGUCAUCAUUCUGAUUAUCAUUUUGGCAGUUAGUUUAAG
RNAcentral lists this unclassified non-coding RNA (1081 nucleotides) under Acromyrmex echinatior (Panamanian leafcutter ant). RNAcentral describes it as "syntaxin-1A, transcript variant X3". The record is from RNAcentral. Lineage: Eukaryota; Metazoa; Arthropoda; Insecta; Hymenoptera; Formicidae.